Molecule: small nucleolar RNA, 92 nt
Filed under: Seriola lalandi dorsalis
Lineage: Eukaryota; Metazoa; Chordata; Actinopteri; Carangiformes; Carangidae
Description: Small nucleolar SNORD12/SNORD106 (ENSSLDG00000007024.1)
Rfam family: Small nucleolar SNORD12/SNORD106
About the family: This family belong to the C/D class of snoRNA which contain the C (UGAUGA) and D (CUGA) box motifs.
Source: RNAcentral
GAUGUGGUUAAUGAUGCAUAUUCUUUUUUCCCCAUCUUAUCGACUGUGGUGAAAAACAGCUGAAAAUAAGCCAAAAUGUCUGAAACCACGUU